GUUCCCACCAAGCUCACAACUUAGUCUAUGGUUGUGGGUUUGUGUUUAGGGGAUUUUUCAUUAAAAUUUUUGGGUUCAAACACCCCUUUUAUUUCUGUUUAUACAUAACAAAUCAAUGAUGAAAACAAGCACAAGACAUCAUCUUUUAUAUGAUGAACUUGUGACUUGUGAAGUGUGAACAAAUGGAAGCUUUGGCUUUCCAAACUAAGUUCCACUCCUUCAUUUGAACAUUCUAUAACUUGUUAGAUUAGAUUUACUUUAUUGUUAUUCAUGACCCUCCCACCAUCUUCAUGAUGGUGUGUGUAGUGGUGAAUCUUAUAAUGAGGUUUUCUAACCUCCAUGCUUGAGAUACAUGAUGUUAUAUGACAAUACUUGAUUGGACUUAGUUUUAGGAUGUAUUAUUACCAUAUAAACUAUACAUAAUUAUAUAAAAACAUGGCUGAGUUUGUGGUGUUAAUCAAACCAUGAUUAGCCAUCAUAAACCUAAGCUAUCAUAUCAAAGAUUCUAGAGUUCUUGUUAUGAUUCCAAUGAGCAAUUUGGGAUCCAUGAAACCACUAGUUAUGGUGUCAUAAGCAAACUCUUAGGGCUUAGAUAUUACUUUCAUGUAUACAUACUUUUACUACUUUAAAUUCUAAAUUCCGAAUCUUACCACCCCCUACACAUCAUGAAACCCUACCAUCAAAUCCUCACUCACAAGCAAACUCGUCACUCUUGGAUAAUCGGAAAGCAUAUGCAAUUUUGUUGAGGUUUGAUGAUGCUAUGAAAACGGACUAGCAAAGAUGCCUAGAUACUCACUUAGACGUCUUAGGUCAAAUACGUUAUAUAAAUUUCAUAUUUGUUGUUGUAUUGUUCUCUUGUAUUUUUUAAUUUAUUGUAACACUUAUUCAUGAAUGAAAUCAAUUUAUCUUUAAUUCUAUUGUCA
Long non-coding RNA from Helianthus annuus (common sunflower), 923 nucleotides. RefSeq lists it as uncharacterized. The record is from RefSeq and is a predicted model, not a curated record. The transcript is spliced from 2 exons. Lineage: Eukaryota; Viridiplantae; Streptophyta; Magnoliopsida; Asterales; Asteraceae.